UAAUUGAAGAGUUUGAUCAUGGCUCAGAUUGAACGCUGGCGGCAGGCCUAACACAUGCAAGUCGAGCGGCAGCGGGAAGAUAGUUUACUAUCUUUGCCGGCGAGCGGCGGACGGGUGAGUAAUGCCUAGGGAUCUGCCCAGUCGAGGGGGAUAACAGUUGGAAACGACUGCUAAUACCGCAUACGCCCUACGGGGGAAAGGAGGGGACCUUCGGGCCUUCCGCGAUUGGAUGAACCUAGGUGGGAUUAGCUAGUUGGUGAGGUAAUGGCUCACCAAGGCGACGAUCCCUAGCUGUUCUGAGAGGAUGAUCAGCCACACUGGGACUGAGACACGGCCCAGACUCCUACGGGAGGCAGCAGUGGGGAAUAUUGCACAAUGGGGGAAACCCUGAUGCAGCCAUGCCGCGUGUGUGAAGAAGGCCUUCGGGUUGUAAAGCACUUUCAGUAGGGAGGAAAGGUAGCAGCUUAAUACGCUGUUGCUGUGACGUUACCUACAGAAGAAGGACCGGCUAACUCCGUGCCAGCAGCCGCGGUAAUACGGAGGGUCCGAGCGUUAAUCGGAAUUACUGGGCGUAAAGCGUGCGCAGGCGGUUUGUUAAGCGAGAUGUGAAAGCCCCGGGCUCAACCUGGGAAUUGCAUUUCGAACUGGCGAACUAGA
Molecule: ribosomal RNA, 657 nt
Filed under: Shewanella sp. SP2S2-6
Lineage: Bacteria; Pseudomonadati; Pseudomonadota; Gammaproteobacteria; Alteromonadales; Shewanellaceae
Description: bacterial SSU rRNA
Rfam family: Bacterial small subunit ribosomal RNA
Source: RNAcentral